RNAcentral lists this non-coding RNA (29 nucleotides) under Mus musculus (house mouse). The record is from RNAcentral. Lineage: Eukaryota; Metazoa; Chordata; Mammalia; Rodentia; Muridae.
CAGAGCAUAAACCAGAGCCAUGAUGAUGU